RNAcentral lists this non-coding RNA (128 nucleotides) under unclassified sequences. Its description in RNAcentral is "DUF3800-I RNA". It matches the Rfam family "DUF3800-I RNA". From Rfam's summary of the family: Actinobacteria, Firmicutes, Fusobacteria, Proteobacteria (1 example), Tenericutes (2 examples). Terminator (Clostridia) The record is from RNAcentral.
UUAAAUUACCGGAGAGAAAUCUUGUCAGGUCGAUAGUUAGAUUUUGAUUAUUUAUAAUUAAGCGUGCUUUUAUGUACGCCAUGCUAACUGGGAUUAAGCUACUUUAAGUAGCUUUUUUUCAUUUUACU